Molecule: ribosomal RNA, 465 nt
Filed under: uncultured bacterium
Lineage: Bacteria
Description: partial 16S ribosomal RNA
Rfam family: Bacterial small subunit ribosomal RNA
Source: RNAcentral
CUACGGGGUGCUGCAGUGAGGAAUUUUGCGCAAUGGGGGGAACCCUGACGCAGCAACGCCGCGUGAGUGAUGAAGGCUUUCGGGUCGUAAAGCUCUGUCAAGUGGGAAGAACCUAUGCAGUGUUAAUAUCACUGUAUACUGACGGUACCACUGAAGGAAGCACCGGCUAGCUCCGUGCCAGCAGCCGCGGUAAUACGGGGGGUGCAAGCGUUAUUCGGAAUCAUUGGGCGUAAAGGGCACGUAGGCGGCUUGGUAAGUCAGAUGUGAAAGCCCGGGGCUUAACCCCGGAAGUGCAUUUGAUACUGUCAGGCUUGAGUAUGGGAGAGGGAAGUGGAAUUCCUGGUGUAGAGGUGAAAUUCGUAGAUAUCAGGAGGAACACCGGUGGCGAAGGCGACUUCCUGGACCAAUACUGACGCUGAGGUGCGAAGGCGUGGGUAGCAAACAGGAUUAGAUACCCUAGUAGUC